GAUGAACGCUGGCGGCGUGCCUAAUACAUGCAAGUCGAGCGAACAGACGAGGAGCUUGCUCCUCUGACGUUAGCGGCGGACGGGUGAGUAACACGUGGAUAACCUACCUAUAAGACUGGGAUAACUUCGGGAAACCGGAGCUAAUACCGGAUAACAUGUUGAACCGCAUGGUUCAACAGUGAAAGACGGUCUUGCUGUCACUUAUAGAUGGAUCCGCGCCGCAUUAGCUAGUUGGUAAGGUAACGGCUUACCAAGGCAACGAUGCGUAGCCGACCUGAGAGGGGGAUCGGACACACUGGAACUGAGACACGGUCCAGACUCCUAAGGGAGGCAGCAGUAGGGAAUCUUCCGCAAUGGGCGAAAGCCUGACGGAGCAACGCCGCGUGAGUGAAGAAGGUCUUCGGAUCGUAAAACUCUGUUAUUAGGGAAGAACAAAUGUGUAAGUAACUAUGCACGUCUUGACGGUACCUAAUCAGAAAGCCACGGCUAACUACGUG
This 497-nucleotide ribosomal RNA is filed under the name uncultured bacterium. Its description in RNAcentral is "partial 16S ribosomal RNA". It matches the Rfam family "Bacterial small subunit ribosomal RNA", at positions 28 to 507 of the family's 1533-position model. The record is from RNAcentral.